GCCGGGCACGGUGGUGCGUGCCUGUAGUCCCAACUACUAGGAAGGCUGAGGUGGGAGGAUCCCUUGAGCCCAGGAGUUCUGGGCUGCAGUGUGCUAUGCUGAUCGGGUGUCUGCACUAAGUUCAGCAUCAAUAUGGUGACCUCCCUGGAGUGGGGACCACCAGGUUGCUGAAGGAGGGGUGAACUGGCCCAGGUUGGAAACAGAGCAGGUCAAAACUCCCGUGCUGAUCAGUAGUGGGAUUGCGCCUGUGAAUAGCCACUGCACUCUAGCCUGGGCAAGAUAGCAAGACCCUGUCUCU
RNAcentral lists this signal recognition particle RNA (298 nucleotides) under Aotus nancymaae (Ma's night monkey). Its description in RNAcentral is "Metazoan signal recognition particle RNA (ENSANAG00000005044.1)". It matches the Rfam family "Metazoan signal recognition particle RNA". Rfam says of the family: The signal recognition particle (SRP) is a universally conserved ribonucleoprotein. It is involved in the co-translational targeting of proteins to membranes. The record is from RNAcentral. Lineage: Eukaryota; Metazoa; Chordata; Mammalia; Primates; Aotidae.